RNAcentral lists this ribosomal RNA (2772 nucleotides) under Triticum aestivum (bread wheat). RNAcentral's name for it is "partial small subunit ribosomal RNA". The record is from RNAcentral. Lineage: Eukaryota; Viridiplantae; Streptophyta; Magnoliopsida; Poales; Poaceae.
AUGGGGUGGUUCCUGUCGCCUCACAUCACCGAGCUCAUGAAGGUUGCACGGGACUGCGCAACCACCAACUACAUGCUCUAUUGGGGCGGCAAGAAGAAGCUGGAAAAGCUGGUGGAGGAUCUGGAGGACAUCAAGCGCCUCCUCGAUCCAGCCAGCACGGCCUUCGUCAAGAACCAAGCCAAGCUCGAGCAACUAUGGAGGCUCAAAGAUGACAUUCACGACAUCGAGGAGAUUUUGGACUCGUUUCAAGUGGAGAUCCGUAACGCCGAGGCAACCAGUAGUAGUAACCUAAGCAAGAAGAAGAAGAUCUACGAUAACAAAGUUAUGUUAAUGGGAAAACUGGUGAAAGUGCUCAAGAGUGUAGGCGAGACUCGGAAAAGGGCACGAGAUCUCCAACGCGGUGCACAACAGGGUGCACCUUGUUCCAUCUUGGCAAGAAGAGAAACGGGCCCGAACUCGGUGAGGGACCAAAAGAGCUUCUUUGGGUACCAAAAGGAGUAUGCCCAGCUGAUCUCCUUGUUGCAGAAGCAGCCCGAUGGCAACAAAGUGGACAUCAAGGUGAAGCUGGUAAUCGCCAUCGUCGGCCAUGCCGGGAUGGGGAAGACCGAGCUUGCUCGCCAGGCGUUUCGGACAGCCGAAGAUAAAUUUGAUCUUGGCAUAUGGGUGCACGCCUAUGGCAAGAACACCGAAUUCGAGCUCCUGAAAGAGAUCUGGAAGUCUGUUGCCGGUCACAAACCGGUCGGCGAGAUGAACGUCGCAUGCCUCCAGAGGGAACUCAGGGAGCUCUUGGCGUCGAAGAGGUGCCUUCUGGUGCUGGAUGACGUAUGGAACCAUGAGUUGGCGGCCGACGAGGCGGAGAGGAAGCAUGCAUGGCAGGCGCUGGACCUGUUUACACGCUGCGCCCAAGAUGGAAGUAGAAUCGUGAUGACGACUCGAGCCAAGAUAUGUUCGGCAACGUUCAAAGCAGAUGCAAGCAUCAUUUUGGAUGGGAUCAAAGACAAGGAGAUGACAUUUCUGCUCAACCACACUGCCAAUGGUACUACCGAGAAUAGUGACCAUGGGGUUCAGGAACGGAUAGAGAAGCAAGUCUCGAAGCUCAAGGGGUCCCCAUUGGCAGCCGUAGAGAUCGGCGAGGACUUGGAGCAAAAGACCACAAGCAAAGAGAAGUGCGACAUCUUUGACGACAUUCAAAGUCAUCUGGGCACUGUAUACCAGCAACAUUUGUUCACGUAUCAGCAUCUGCAGCCGCACCUGCAGCGUUGCUUCCAGUUCUGCAGCAUAUUCCCAUACAACUGGAGGUUCGAGCCUGACAAGUUGUGCAAGAUGUGGAUGGCCCUUGGUUUUGUUGAGGAAAUGACCCUUAGCACUGGAGUGAGCAGCAUGGAAGAUGUCACCAGAGGAUACUUUGACGAUCUGGUGAAUCGUUCCUUGUUCCAGUUAGAACAGAGCAAGGGUGGAGGAGACAAACAGGCUCGUUACGUGAUCCAUGAGCAGAUCCAUUGGAUGAUACGGCUGGCCUCUAAGAAGAACUGCAUCAGCAUCUCCGGCGACAGUACCAGCGUAGCCAAGACAAGCAUCCCUGAAACGGUUCGCCACUUGUCAGUUGCUAGCAACUGCCUUGAUGAGCUCAGGAAGAAAUAUCCUAGUUCGGUGCUCAACAAGAUGCGGACUCUGCUAGUCCUAAAGAAUGAUGAUGAUUCCAAGUCGUCGACUGUUGACAAAGGUAUACUCAAACUGUUCAAGGGCGUGAGAGUACUGGACCUGACAGCAGCAACAGGCCUGACACAUCUGCCGGGAACAAUCCACAAUCUGAAACAUGUCCGGUACCUUGGCCUUCCGAGCACCAUGAGGAAUCUCUGUGAUGAGGUCACCGAGCUAUUCUUUCUCCAGACAUUCAGCCUUGAUGGGAAGAAGCAGAAUACCUGCCGCUUGCAGAAGUUUCCAAAACAUAUGAACAAGCUCGUCAACAUGCGACACCUCGACAUCGACAUGGAGUGCAUCGCCAACAUCAACGGCAUCGGGAGGAUGGCUAAACUGCAAGGACCCAUCGAGUUUAAGGCCAUCAGGUCGUCGGAGAAAGAAGGGCACGCCGUGUCGGAGCUUGCGGGGAUGGACUCUCUGCGAGGGACGCUGAGCAUAAAGGGCCUCGACGACGUUCCCAGCAAGGAGGAAGCCAUGAAGGCUCGACUCGAGCAGAAAAGUGCCGUCAAGGUACUCAAGCUUGAAUGGGGGCCUCCGGAUCCACGGCGAGUUAACGGUGGACCUGCCGACUCCGACGCCGUUGCCGUCCUUGAAGGUCUCCAGCCUCACCGCGACCUCCACGAGCUGCGCAUCACGAGGUACCCUGGGGCGACGUCGCCGAGCUGGCUGGGCGUGAAGAUGGAGAAGCUGACGAGCCUGUACCUCAGGAACUGCAGGAAGCUCAACGCCCUGCCUGUCCUCGGUGAGCUCCCCUGCCUGGAGCUUCUGGAUGUUAAGGAGCUGUCCUGCGUCGAAACGAUCGACAGCGACUUCUGCGGUGCCGGCACGUUCCUGAAGCUGAAGAAGGUCGUGCUUGACGACAUGCCGGGACUGCUGUCGUGGGGGGAUAUGCCAAAACUGGCGUUCCCUGAGCUCACGGAGGUGAGCAUCGUAGACUGCCCCCGGCUGUCCUCCUUGUCGGGCUUAGAGCUCUGCGCAGGUCCCCUCAGCCUGCGGGUCAAGGGGUGCCCGCACAUCACACCGGAGACCCUGAAAGCAAUUACCGGUAUCUCCAACUACAAAUUCCACUAG